UUAAAGGGCUGCAGUAUAUUGACUGUACAAAGGUAGCAUAAUCAUUAGUCAUUUAAUUGAUGACUUGUAUGAAGGAUUGGAUGAAAUAUAAACUGUCUCUUAAUUAUAUUUAGAAUUUAAUUUUUUAAUUAAAAAGUUAAAAUAAAUUAGAAAGACGAGAAGACCCUAUAGAGUUUUAUAAAUAAAAUUAAUUGAGAUUAUUUAUAAAAUUAAAAUUAAGAUUAAUUUAUUUAUUUUGUUGGGGUGACAGAAAAAUAUAAAAAACUUUUUAUAUAUAUAUUUAAAACGUUGAUAAGUGGUUAAAUGAUCCAAUAUUAUUGAUUAUAAGAAAAAAUUACCUUAGGGAUAACAGCGUAAUUUUUUUUUUUAGUUCAUAUAAAAAAAAAAGUUUGCGACCUCGAUGUUGGAUUAAGAUAAAAUUUAAAUGUAGAAG
Molecule: ribosomal RNA, 433 nt
Filed under: Sesamia capensis
Lineage: Eukaryota; Metazoa; Arthropoda; Insecta; Lepidoptera; Noctuidae
Description: partial 16S ribosomal RNA
Source: RNAcentral